AACGUAGGUACCGAGCGUUAUCCGGAUUUACUGGGCGUAAAGCGCGCGUAGGCGGGUUGGUAAGUCCGCUGUGAAAGCCCGGAGCUCAACUCCGGAGGGUCGGUGGAUACUGCCAGUCUUGAAGGUGCUAGGGGGAGAUGGAAUUACCGGUGUAGCGGUGAAAUGCGUAGAUAUCGGUAGGAACACCAGUGGCGAAGGCGGGACUCUGGGCCGAUACUGACGCUGAGGAGCGAAGGCGUGGGGAGCGAACGGG
RNAcentral lists this ribosomal RNA (253 nucleotides) under uncultured bacterium. Its description in RNAcentral is "partial 16S ribosomal RNA". It matches the Rfam family "Bacterial small subunit ribosomal RNA", at positions 524 to 776 of the family's 1533-position model. The record is from RNAcentral.